UGGCGGGACAUGGCGGUAGAUUUUGUGAGAACUGCAAGGAAAUGACAGCUUGCUUUGGCACAAGGCCCGGAACUAAAGAGCCCCUCGGCUUCUCAGCAAAUUUCCUUUGCUUAGUGAUAUUAAGAUAUAGGAUGGAAGGAAGACAAUUCGUAAAACAGAGAGAUUUCUCUAGUGCAUGCCAGAUGUCAACUUGGUAGAAAGCGAUUACUGGAGGAAGCAAGUAAUAAAGAUUGGGCCUAAGAGAGCAUCAAUUAGGAAAGGCAGGAGAAAUUUGCUGUUCGUCAGGGGAAGGAAAGCUACUACAGUAAUUACACCAAGAAAAAGCUCAUCCUACACUAUGGAGUAAAGUUUGCUUGAUGAAAAGGCAUUUUGAAGACUGGCGUCUCGUGUUCCUCAGGUUUGUUCGACCACCCAAAACUGGAUACCAAGGAACACGAUCACCUUAAAUAUAAGACCAGAGACAAGUAUCAAUCUUGGAACGAAGGCAAAAUUGGAUCGACCCCAAUUCAGAGAAUAAAGCGAAAAAUUGGGGUUUGAUCCAUCCGCCAUCCCCCACCACACCCGCCUCCAUUAGGCAGUACUUAAAAGUUAUCAACCUUUGGUUUCCUGUCCACCAUCUACCACCACACCCGCC
Molecule: long non-coding RNA, 634 nt
Organism: Pocillopora damicornis (cauliflower coral)
Lineage: Eukaryota; Metazoa; Cnidaria; Anthozoa; Scleractinia; Pocilloporidae
Source: RefSeq, a predicted model, not a curated record